UGCUACCAUCUGUGGUUGUAAAGGUC
This 26-nucleotide non-coding RNA is filed under the name Homo sapiens (human). The record is from RNAcentral. Lineage: Eukaryota; Metazoa; Chordata; Mammalia; Primates; Hominidae.